GGCGGGAUGCCGGAGCGGCCGAACGGGCUGGCUUGUGGUUCCAGUGGAUCCGCAAGGUCCCGUGGGUUCGAAUCCCACUCCCGCCG
RNAcentral lists this transfer RNA (86 nucleotides) under Actinomycetota bacterium. RNAcentral describes it as "tRNA-His". It matches the Rfam family "tRNA". Rfam says of the family: Transfer RNA (tRNA) molecules are approximately 80 nucleotides in length. Their secondary structure includes four short double-helical elements and three loops (D, anti-codon, and T loops). Further hydrogen bonds mediate the characteristic L-shaped molecular structure. tRNAs have two regions of fundamental functional importance: the anti-codon, which is responsible for specific mRNA codon recognition, and the 3' end, to which the tRNAs corresponding amino acid is attached (by aminoacyl-tRNA synthetases). tRNAs cope with the degeneracy of the genetic code in two manners: having more than one tRNA (with a specific anti-codon) for a particular amino acid; and 'wobble' base-pairing, i.e. permitting non-standard base-pairing at the 3rd anti-codon position. Lineage: Bacteria; Bacillati; Actinomycetota. The record is from RNAcentral.